Molecule: ribosomal RNA, 250 nt
Filed under: uncultured bacterium
Lineage: Bacteria
Description: partial 16S ribosomal RNA
Rfam family: Bacterial small subunit ribosomal RNA
Source: RNAcentral
GAUGAACGCUAGCGACAGGCUUAACACAUGCAAGUCAAGGGGCAGCGGGGAGGUCAGCUUGCUGACUUUUGUCCGGCGACCGGCGCACGGGUGAGUAACACGUAUGCAACCUGCCCGCCACAGGGGGAGUAACCGGGAGAAAUCCCGACUAAUACCGCGUAGACCGCGAGGGGCAUCCCGACGCGGGGAAAGGACAUGGUCCGGUGGCGGAUGGGCAUGCGGCGCAUUAGCUAGUUGGCGGGGCGAACGG